RNAcentral lists this ribosomal RNA (240 nucleotides) under uncultured bacterium. Its description in RNAcentral is "partial 16S ribosomal RNA". It matches the Rfam family "Bacterial small subunit ribosomal RNA", at positions 537 to 776 of the family's 1533-position model. The record is from RNAcentral.
AGCGUUGUUCGGAAUUAUUGGGCGUAAAGGGCUCGUAGGCGGUCAACUAAGUCAUACGUGAAAUCCCUCAGCUUAACUGGGGAACUGCGUGUGAUACUGGAUGGCUUGGAUUUGGGAGAGGGAUGCGGAAUUCCAGGUGUAGCGGUGAAAUGCGUAGAUAUCUGGAGGAACACCGGUGGCGAAGGCGGCAUCCUGGACCAAUAUUGACGCUGAGGAGCGAAAGCCAGGGGAGCAAACGGG